This 71-nucleotide transfer RNA is filed under the name Patescibacteria group bacterium. Its description in RNAcentral is "tRNA-Gln". It matches the Rfam family "tRNA". From Rfam's summary of the family: Transfer RNA (tRNA) molecules are approximately 80 nucleotides in length. The record is from RNAcentral.
UGCCCGGUAGUUUAAAGGUAGAACACCGCGCUCUGGACGCGGGGAUCGGGGUUCGAGUCCCUGCUGGGCAG